ACAAAAAAGUCCCAAUCAGAAAGAGGAAGCCCCUAAAUCAGAAGACUCCGAGAAACCUUCGUUCUUGAGUUCGAACUCGACUACAGUGUUCUUGCAGGGUGAAAACCUCGCCCACCACAUGAAGGAGGCGCUUGAACAAACAAAGAUGAAGACUCCGAGACUGAGCUUGGGGCUGCAGUUUAGGCCGAGCACUUAAAGCUUGCUAAUGGGUACUAUAAGAUCGAGGCCAUACGUAGAUAGCGAGAUUGAAAGGCCCAUCAUUUCUCCUUUCUAUCUUUUCUCAGAAAAUCAUAACCGUGCUCUUUGAUCUCUAGGAGAGGCACAAUAAAAAGUAUUCUGGUUAUUUUUUGCAGAUAGAUUAAGAUGAAAAUGAAGUGCAAUGUGGAUAUAUUUUUCAUUGUUUUGAACUUGAUUAUGGAUUUUAGAGAGAACCACAAAGACAACUAGAGUGUGAAGCCCAUAAGGAAAAAGACUACUGGUACUGGACACAUGAGUUACCUCCUCCAUGUUUCCUGCAGAUUCAAGACCAACUUAAGAGAAUGUAUAAUCUUAUUAAUUUAAGUUUUUAAUUUUUGUAGUUCAUUUUUUGUUUGGAUGCUUGAGUUUGCCUUUUAUGAUGAAUAGACAAGAGGCCAAUAUUGGUUUGAAUGCUCAAAUUAAUUUUCUCA
Molecule: long non-coding RNA, 668 nt
Organism: Olea europaea var. sylvestris
Lineage: Eukaryota; Viridiplantae; Streptophyta; Magnoliopsida; Lamiales; Oleaceae
Exons: 2
Source: RefSeq, a predicted model, not a curated record